This 253-nucleotide ribosomal RNA is filed under the name uncultured prokaryote. RNAcentral describes it as "partial 16S ribosomal RNA". It matches the Rfam family "Bacterial small subunit ribosomal RNA", at positions 524 to 776 of the family's 1533-position model. The record is from RNAcentral.
AACGUAGGUUCCGAGCGUUAUCCGGAUUUACUGGGCGUAAAGCGCGUUCAGGCGGUUUGGCAAGUCGGGCAUGAAAUCCUUCGGCUCAACCGGGGGAGGUUGUCCGAUACUGCUGAACUGGAGGGCAGUAGAGGGUGGUGGAAUUCCGGGUGUAGUGGUGAAAUGCGUAGAGAUCCGGAGGAACCCCAGAGGCGAAGGCGGCGCCCUGGCUCGACACUGACGCUCAGACACGACAGCAUGGGGAGCGAACGGG